This 321-nucleotide ribosomal RNA is filed under the name Staphylococcus aureus. RNAcentral's name for it is "partial 23S ribosomal RNA". It matches the Rfam family "Bacterial large subunit ribosomal RNA", at positions 580 to 903 of the family's 2925-position model. The record is from RNAcentral. Lineage: Bacteria; Bacillati; Bacillota; Bacilli; Caryophanales; Staphylococcaceae.
CCCGUUAAUGGGUGAUGGCGUGCCUUUUGUAGAAUGAACCGGCGAGUUACGAUUUGAUGCAAGGUUAAGCAGUAAAUGUGGAGCCGUAGCGAAAGCGAGUCUGAAUAGGGCGUUUAGUAUUUGGUCGUAGACCCGAAACCAGGUGAUCUACCCUUGGUCAGGUUGAAGUUCAGGUAACACUGAAUGGAGGACCGAACCGACUUACGUUGAAAAGUGAGCGGAUGAACUGAGGGUAGCGGAGAAAUUCCAAUCGAACCUGGAGAUAGCUGGUUCUCUCCGAAAUAGCUUUAGGGCUAGCCUCAAGUGAUGAUUAUUGGAGGU